This 560-nucleotide ribosomal RNA is filed under the name uncultured bacterium. RNAcentral's name for it is "bacterial SSU rRNA". It matches the Rfam family "Bacterial small subunit ribosomal RNA", at positions 84 to 659 of the family's 1533-position model. The record is from RNAcentral.
GGGUAGCACGAGUGGGAAACGGUGGGUUAACAGUGAGUAAUGUGCCGUGCAGUUCGGAGAGAAGGGUGGAAAACUGAGUUUAAUACCAGAUAUGAGAUCAGACCCCAUGGUGGGGGUUGGAAAGUUUUACGGUGCAGGAUGUGCCCGCGGCCUAUCAGCUUGUUGGUGGGGUAAUGGCCUACCAAGGCGACGACGGGUAGCCGGCCUGAGAGGGUGAUCGGCCACACUGGGACUGAGAUACGGCCCAGACUCCUACGGGAGGCAGCAGUGGGGAAUAUUGCACAAUGGGCGGAAGCCUGAUGCAGCGACGCCGCGUGGGGGAUGACGGUCUUCGGAUUGUAAACCCCUUUCAGUAGGGACGAAGCGAGAGUGACGGUACCUGCAGAAGAAGCACCGGCCAACUACGUGCCAGCAGCCGCGGUAAUACGUAGGGUGCGAGCGUUGUCCGGAAUUAUUGGGCGUAAAGAGCUCGUAGGUGGUUGGUCACGUCUGCUGUGGAAACGCAACGCUUAACGUUGCGCGGGCAGUGGGUACGGGCUGACUAGAGUGCAGUAGGGGAG